GGGAUUUUGGUCUAGUGGUAUGAUUCUCGCUUAGGGUGCGAGAGGUCGUGGGUUCAAUUCCCGCAACUCCCC
RNAcentral lists this transfer RNA (72 nucleotides) under Volvox carteri f. nagariensis. Its description in RNAcentral is "tRNA-Pro (AGG) (tRNA-Pro-AGG-10-1)". It matches the Rfam family "tRNA". Rfam says of the family: Transfer RNA (tRNA) molecules are approximately 80 nucleotides in length. Their secondary structure includes four short double-helical elements and three loops (D, anti-codon, and T loops). Lineage: Eukaryota; Viridiplantae; Chlorophyta; Chlorophyceae; Chlamydomonadales; Volvocaceae. The record is from Rfam by way of RNAcentral.